AAGACGUUCAAGGGAGAAAUGUUCUGACAAAUUUCUGGUCAUGGAAAAGGUCAAGUGUUUCCAAAGUCUGACAAAAAUCAGCGUUGAACCACAAUGUGGAGCAUAUCCUACAGCACAUAUAGAGCCUACACCAUCAGUUGAAGUUUCUUCGCAAUAGUGUCAACCUUUGGAGCCGUGCUUGACAUGAUAACAGACAGGUCAUUCUCUCUUUACUCUAUGUAUGCAUGCAAGCCAAAGGAAUGUGCUGAUUAUUGCUGUUUUAACUUCUUUAUAUUGUUUCACAAGUGUACAAGUAUGAUAUUUCUCCUUUCCAGCGGUUCAUCAGUUGUUAUAAUUUUUAACUUCUUGGAUUGAGAGUUGUGUAUGAGUUAUUUUGGAUUGAAAGUUGUCCAUGGGUUUGUUUCUUUAUUUGAACUGUUUUGUUGUUUUGGA
Lotus japonicus is the source of this 432-nucleotide long non-coding RNA. RefSeq lists it as uncharacterized. The transcript is spliced from 3 exons. The record is from RefSeq and is a predicted model, not a curated record. Lineage: Eukaryota; Viridiplantae; Streptophyta; Magnoliopsida; Fabales; Fabaceae.